RNAcentral lists this ribosomal RNA (490 nucleotides) under uncultured bacterium. Its description in RNAcentral is "partial 16S ribosomal RNA". It matches the Rfam family "Bacterial small subunit ribosomal RNA", at positions 30 to 507 of the family's 1533-position model. The record is from RNAcentral.
AUUGAACGCUGGCGGCAGGCCUAACACAUGCAAGUCGAACGGUAACAGGAAGAAGCUUGCUUCUUUGCUGACGAGUGGCGGACGGGUGAGUAAUGUCUGGGAAACUGCCUGAUGGAGGGGGAUAACUACUGGAAACGGUAGCUAAUACCGCAUAACGUCGCAAGACCAAAGAGGGGGACCUUCGGGCCUCUUGCCAUCGGAUGUGCCCAGAUGGGAUUAGCUAGUAGGUGGGGUAACGGCUCACCUAGGCGACGAUCCCUAGCUGGUCUGAGAGGAUGACCAGCCACACUGGAACUGAGACACGGUCCAGACUCCUACGGGAGGCAGCAGUGGGGAAUAUUGCACAAUGGGGGCAAGCCUGAUGCAGCCAUGCCGCGUGUAUGAAGAAGGCCUUCGGGUUGUAAAGUACUUUCAGCGGGGAGGAAGGGAGUAAAGUUAAUACCUUUACUCAUUGACGUUACCCGCAGAAGAAGCACCGGCUAACUCCGUG